RNAcentral lists this ribosomal RNA (253 nucleotides) under uncultured bacterium. RNAcentral's name for it is "partial 16S ribosomal RNA". It matches the Rfam family "Bacterial small subunit ribosomal RNA", at positions 524 to 776 of the family's 1533-position model. The record is from RNAcentral.
UACGAAGGGUGCAAGCGUUACUCGGAAUUACUGGGCGUAAAGCGUGCGUAGGUGGUGAGUUAAGUCUGUCGUGAAAGCCCCGGGCUCAACCUGGGAAUGGCGAUGGAUACUGGCUCGCUAGAGUGCGGUAGAGGAGAGUGGAAUUCCCGGUGUAGCAGUGAAAUGCGUAGAGAUCGGGAGGAACAUCAGUUGCGAAGGCGGCUUCCUGGACCGGUUCUGACACUGAGGAGCGAAAGCGUGGGGAGCGAUCCGG